GGAGUUAGCCGGUGCUUCUUCUGUGAGUGAUGUCCUUCCUGCCGGCUAUUAACCCGCAGGCCUUCUUCCUCACUGAAAGUGCUUUACAACCCGAAGGCCUUCUUCACACACGCGGCAUGGAUGGAUCAGGGUUGCCCCCAUUGUCCAAUAUUCCCCACUGCUGCCUCCCGUAGGAGUCUGGGCCGUGUCUCAGUCCCAGUGUGGCUGAUCAUCCUCUCAGACCAGCUACGGAUCGUCGCCUUGGUGAGCCGUUACCUCACCAACCAGCUAAUCCGACAUAGGCUCAUCCGAUAGCGCGAGGCCCGAAGGUCCCCCGCUUUCCCCCGUAGGGCGUAUGCGGUAUUAGCCUGGGUUUCCCCAGGUUAUCCCCCACUACCGGGCAGAUUCCUAUGCAUUACUCACCCGUCCGCCGCUCGCCACCAGGGAGCAAGCUCCCCGUGCUGCCGCUCGACUUGCAUGUGUUAGGCCUGCCGCCAGCGUUCAUCUGAGCCAUAAUCAACUCUGA
Molecule: ribosomal RNA, 505 nt
Filed under: uncultured bacterium
Lineage: Bacteria
Description: partial 16S ribosomal RNA
Source: RNAcentral